Molecule: ribosomal RNA, 538 nt
Filed under: Campsicnemus pherocteis
Lineage: Eukaryota; Metazoa; Arthropoda; Insecta; Diptera; Dolichopodidae
Description: partial 16S ribosomal RNA
Rfam family: Bacterial large subunit ribosomal RNA
Source: RNAcentral
UUAACAAAAACAUGUCUUUUUGAAUUUAAAUAUAAAGUCUAAUCUGCCCACUGAUAAAUUAUUUAAUGGCCGCAGUAUUUUAACUGUGCAAAGGUAGCAUAAUAAUUAGUCUUUUAAUUGAAGGCUUGUAUGAAUGAUUGGACGAGAUAUAAACUGUCUCAUAAAAAUUUUUUUUUAAAAAUUAAUUUUUUAGUUAAAAAGCUAAAAUAAAUUUAAAAGACGAGAAGACCCCAUAGAUCUUUAUAUUUUUUUUUAUUAUUGUUAUUUAGUUUUUUUAAAAGUUAAUAAAUAAAAAUAUUUUGUUGGGGUGACAUUGAAAUUUAAUAAACUUUCAAAAUUUAAUACCAUUAAUUUAUGAAUCUAUGAUCCUUUAUUAUUGAUUAAAAAUUUAAGUUACCUUGGGGAUAACAGCGUAAUUAUUUUAGAAAGUUCCUAUUGAUAAAAUAGAUUGCGACCUCGAUGUUGGAUUAAGAUUAAUUUUGGGUGUAGCAGUUCAAAAUAUUAAGUCUGUUCGACUUUUAAUUUCUUACGUGAUCUG